Bombyx mori (domestic silkworm) is the source of this 1374-nucleotide long non-coding RNA. RefSeq lists it as uncharacterized. The transcript is spliced from 2 exons. NCBI's taxonomy places the organism in Eukaryota, Metazoa, Arthropoda, Insecta, Lepidoptera, Bombycidae. The record is from RefSeq and is a predicted model, not a curated record.
AACAUAUUUUGCGAACCUGACAUCUCAUAAAUAAGUACGCAAUAUAGUUAACACAAUGUACACAAUAGUACACAUUAUAACAAAUAUUCUCAGUACGGACACCAUAUGAACUAGGCACGAAACUUAACAGAGAGAUGAGAUACCAGAGAAUCGAAGAUAAAUAAUAUAUCAAAGAGAAAAUCAACAUUAUUAAUGGUAUCAAACUCCUGCAUUUGUGGCACUGAUGGUUGAUAUGGUCAAAUAGUGAAUUACAUUUUCAACACCAUCAUUCUUGUUGGAAAUGUUAUCAGAAAAGCAAUUUGCAAAAGUCCUCAUAGAUCCUGAACUAUUUAUCAAAAAUCCUAAUAAAGGUGACCCUUAAUGUGGUGAAAGGUUAUUCCAAAAACAAAUACAUAUUGCAAUUCAGAAAUACCCAAGAACUGAGAUUAACAAGUAGAGACUAAUUGACUAACUAACUAACUAACUAAUUGAUCACAGAAUUUAUCAGUUACUAAGUAACUAAUUUUUGAGUUUAAAUAAGAAGAUGUUUGUCUUCAUCCUUGAUCCUGAAGUUUGUAAAGGAUGACCCAAUCCUUAAGAUGAAAUAAGAUAAUUAAUUCAUAAAUAAACAUUGCAUUUUCCAAAUUUAUUUUGUGAUGAUUCAUUCAAUGUAUAAUACAGUUCUUAAUGUGUUUUUUUUAUCACGUCAUGAAAGUUGAUAAAGCAGAUAACAGCAAAUAGGGCAUAGAUAGUUUGUGUAUUAUAUGGCUAAGCUAUAAAUGUGACACAUAAAAAAUUUGAAUAAUAUUCUUAUUAUGAUUCAGACAUCCUACUUUUAAACUUGAUUUAAUGAUAGUGCUCCUUUUUAUUGCAAUCUAUAAAUCAAUUUUAAGAUUAGCACACUUGCACUGACAACAAUUUUAAGCUAAGAGCAAGUUUGUAGAUGAUUCACCAUAAUUAUGCUGCCAGAGUAUUUUUAUUUUUACAUACAGAGUGUGAUUUUUUGAACCGAGUCUAAUACAAGCUUGGAGUACCAAGUACUCAGAUAGCUGAUGGUGACUGAAAAUAUAGCGGGAAAACGUCCCAGAUUACCCAGUCCUACCAGAUGAUCAGAUCAAAUUCGAUCUUGCCUGAACAUCAAGUUCCACUAAGCCCUCCAUUGAAGUCAAGGAUCCCAGCAGAUGGAAGAAAAUUGUAAAGGAGAGAAAGAUGCAGCAAGAGAGUUGCAACUCUCAGUAGUGAGAAAAGCGACACAAGGGGGGAAUACAAGCCUAUCCUAAUCUAGCAUGAUGAGGCUUGUACAUUUGUUGUUUGCCAAUUGCAACAGGUUGUAUUCAGUUGUAACUAAAUUUGAAUUACUAGGUUGCCUUAAUAAAAUUACUUACAUUUCCUCCA